GGCUGGUCCGAAGGUAGUGAGUUAUCUCACUUGAUUAUGCACAGUCAGUUACAGAUUGAACUCCUUGUUCUACUACUCCCCCCACCACUACUGCACUUGACUAGUCUUCA
RNAcentral lists this Y RNA (110 nucleotides) under Microcebus murinus (gray mouse lemur). RNAcentral's name for it is "Y RNA (ENSMICG00000044975.1)". It matches the Rfam family "Y RNA". Rfam says of the family: Y RNAs are components of the Ro ribonucleoprotein particle (Ro RNP), in association with Ro60 and La proteins. The Y RNAs and Ro60 and La proteins are well conserved, but the function of the Ro RNP is not known. In humans the RNA component can be one of four small RNAs -- hY1, hY3, hY4 and hY5. The record is from Rfam by way of RNAcentral. Lineage: Eukaryota; Metazoa; Chordata; Mammalia; Primates; Cheirogaleidae.